Molecule: ribosomal RNA, 464 nt
Filed under: uncultured bacterium
Lineage: Bacteria
Description: partial 16S ribosomal RNA
Rfam family: Bacterial small subunit ribosomal RNA
Source: RNAcentral
CUACGGGCGGCAGCAGUCGAGAAUCUUUUGCAAUGCCCGAAAGGGUGACAAUGCGACGCCGCGUGAGCGAUGAAGGCCUUAGGGUUGUAAAGCUCUGUCAGCUGGGACGAAUGCAAGAGUGCUAAUAACAUUUUUGUUUGACGGUACCAGCAGAGGAAGCCACGGCUAACUCCGUGCCAGCAGCCGCGGUAAUACGGAGGUGGCAAGCGUUGUGCGGAUUUACUGGGUGUAAAGGUCAUGUAGGCGUUUUAUUAAGUCGGGUGUGAAAUCCCACGGCUCAACCGUGGAACUGCACUCGAUACUGGUAGAAUUGAGUACGAGAGAGGUAAGCGGAAUUCCGGAAGUAAGGGUGAAAUCUGUAGAUAUCCGGAAGAACACCAUUAGCGAAGGCGGCUUACUGGCUCGAUACUGACGCUGAAAUGAGAAAGCUAGGGGAGCGAACAGGAUUAGAUACCCUUGUAGUC